GUAGAUGCGAGCGGGGCGGAGGGCUCCUGCCCGGCUGGGGCUGAGGCCUGUCACCUCCACAGCUCCUCAGGGCUUCGUGUUAACGAGGUUCAGUGAUUGUGCUGCGUUAGACCAACAGGAUUUUCUUCAUCAGUGACUUAUGUGUUUUGAUGAGUUUUAUGUGAAAAGGAAUUAAGAUGAAUGAAAUACUUUAUUGGCCAUAGGAGGAUCAUGAUGUGCAAGGUCACAUCUCAGUGGAAUCCUCUUUAGGUACUGUGACUUGUUCUCUCGGGACUGUCCACUUACUGCUUUGAUUUUCUCAUCAGUAGGAACACUGAGAACUUUUAGGCAGUAACACAGAGUCCUUGUCAAUUUGAGCCACGCCAAGAGAGAAGACUGACAAGUUCAAGAAGCUGCAUUUGCUUUUGGUUUCUGUCAAAUUCAAAUACAAACCUAAAUAUACAAAAAUAUCAAAAACAGCGUUCAGCAGGAAAAGACUACAGAAUUGGCUCCUGCUCGUUCCUACUGAACUGUUCUUUUCAUCCUGUUUAAUGGAAGUUGCAGUUUUUACUUUUUGGUGUAGUUAACAACAGAUUAUCUGAAACUUCUUGCUUUGACUCUAGAACAGCAAAGAAAACUGUCGGGGAGGCGCUGCAACAGGAAUAAAAGUGUUCAGAAAGCAUGUGGCAAUUUGGGGGGAGGUAACAGGGAAAUCUUCCUCCUAUUUUUUCCCUGCUGGAAUUCAUAUCGUAACAUUUAGCGUUGGUGUUCAGUUCAAAACUUACUGUGCUGCAAAGGUUGGUGUGUUGACAUGGGCAUGCUUUCCCACAGCUCAAAUAGCAGAGAGUUUAUUUAUAAAGCAAAAUAUAUCUCUGAAAUUAUAAUUGAUACUGUAAUUAUGGAGAACUUGCCAUAAAGAGGAGGCUUAGUGGCCUGUAGGACAUUUUCCUGGCUUAGAAUAGUCAAGAUUUAUACUGCAGCAUUUUCUCUGUAUGAGUCUUAAACAGGAAAUUCCCCCAUCAAGACAGAAAAACUUCAGUAAUUAAGAGGUACUGUGACGGGGAUGAUAAGCCUAAAAUAAUGGUCAACUUUAAAUGUUAUUUAUGGUUGGAACAUCUAAAUGGUAAGCUUUGCUUUACUUCUUGGGGAUCAUUGCUUUUUCUAAAAUAUGUGUUCAGAAGCCAGCUGUGUGGUGCCAGCCUUUCCAUAAACCAGCGUGUGCCAGAUGUGUGUGGGAUCCUGGGGAAGGUGGUUGCAUUGGUUUCUCUGUUUCACUUUGGUAAUGAGCAGAAUGCUUCCAAAGUUGCUGCGUUGUUUUUUCUUCUUUCAAAAGACUGGGAGUGUUGUACCUCAGCUUUGGGAAGGAGGCCGGUUCUGAAUGUGCUUUAUGUUCAUUUGUUACCUAGUGGAAUGGUUGCUUGUUUAUCUCACUUAUAAUUUUUUUUUUCCCCCACUCGUUGUCUGCCUGCACUUCAAGAACACCUAUUGCCUCUAUGCAGUUUAGAGAUAAGAACGCAAAUACGGUCUAAUUUGUAGUGAUUUUGAUCACAGGUUGCUAUGUUUGAGAGUUGUGCCAACUCUCUCUUGACAUGCAUGUAUAAUGAUGUACUUAAUGCUUAGUGGAGCCUGAGGGAUUUGUUAUCCUGUAGUGAAAAAGUGUUAUUUAUUCGCACAGUAAUCUGCAGAGGAGGAUAGCAAUAAAUCUUCUGAUUUUUCUUGA
Molecule: non-coding RNA, 1699 nt
Organism: Meleagris gallopavo (turkey)
Lineage: Eukaryota; Metazoa; Chordata; Aves; Galliformes; Phasianidae
Source: RefSeq, a predicted model, not a curated record